Molecule: long non-coding RNA, 191 nt
Filed under: Struthio camelus australis
Lineage: Eukaryota; Metazoa; Chordata; Aves; Struthioniformes; Struthionidae
Description: lncRNA (ENSSCUG00000011357.1)
Source: RNAcentral
AAUGUCUUUCAGUCAGUAGAGCAUCAAUGGAACUAAUAUAGAAGCUUGGAUGUUUUGCUUUCAGGUCAAUUGGCUGCAAUCUGGCUUCACUCAACUUCUCCCUACGUGUCGAGAUCAGAUAUUCUCUCUAAAUACGCUCAGAUUAAUUACAAAUCUGUAAGCCGUGGGAUAGAUAUGUGGAUAGAUAUGUA